GACGAACGCUGGCGGCGUGCUUAACACAUGCAAGUCGAACGGUGAAGCUCCAGCUUGCUGGAGUGGAUCAGUGGCGAACGGGUGAGUAACACGUGAGCAACCUGCCCCUGACUCUGGAAUAAGCGCUGGAAACGGCGUCUAAUACUGGAUACGAGAAGGGUCCGCAUGGGCACUUUCUGGAAAGUUUUUCGGUUGGGGAUGGGCUCGCGGCCUAUCAGCUUGUUGGUGAGGUAAUGGCUCACCAAGGCGACGACGGGUAGCCGGCCUGAGAGGGCGACCGGCCACACUGGGACUGAGACACGGCCCAGACUCCUACGGGAGGCAGCAGUGGGGGAUAUUGCACAAUGGGCGAAAGCCUGAUGCAGCGACGCCGCGUGAGGGAUGACGGCCUUCGGGUUGUAAACCUCUUUCAGCAGGGAAGAAGCGAAAGUGACGGUACCUGCAGAAGAAGCACCGGCUAACUACGUG
RNAcentral lists this ribosomal RNA (468 nucleotides) under uncultured bacterium. Its description in RNAcentral is "partial 16S ribosomal RNA". It matches the Rfam family "Bacterial small subunit ribosomal RNA", at positions 28 to 507 of the family's 1533-position model. The record is from RNAcentral.